UACGAAGGGGGCUAGCGUUGUUCGGAAUCACUGGGCGUAAAGCGCACGUAGGCGGCGCGUUCAGUCAGGGGUGAAAUCCUGGGGCUCAACUCCAGAACUGCCUUUGAUACUGGAGUGCUCGAGUGUGGAAGAGGUGGGUGGAAGUCCUAGUGUAGAGGUGAAAUUCGUAGAUAUUAGGAAGAACACCAGUGGCGAAGGCGGCCCACUGGUCCGGUACUGACGCUGAGGUGCGAAAGCGUGGGGAGCAAACAGG
Molecule: ribosomal RNA, 253 nt
Filed under: uncultured bacterium
Lineage: Bacteria
Description: partial 16S ribosomal RNA
Rfam family: Bacterial small subunit ribosomal RNA
Source: RNAcentral